This 1269-nucleotide unclassified non-coding RNA is filed under the name uncultured fungus. RNAcentral describes it as "sequence contains 18S rRNA gene, ITS1, 5.8S rRNA gene, ITS2, 28S rRNA gene". The stretch from base 392 to 1269 matches the Rfam family "Eukaryotic large subunit ribosomal RNA", at positions 1 to 961 of the family's 3401-position model. The record is from RNAcentral. Lineage: Eukaryota; Fungi.
GGAAGGAUCAUUAACAAAAAAUGAACUAAUAACUAACUGACAUGGUUAUAGUGUGUGUUUACUCACUGCUAUAAUGUUAUAUACCAAUACAUAAGCCAUAUAAAACAAUAAAUGGUUGAUAAAACUCUAAAUUUUCAACGAUGGAUGUCUUGGCUCCCAUAUCGAUGAAGAACGCAGCAAGAAUGCGAUAUGCAAUGUGAAUUGCAGAACCAUGAAUCAUCGGAUCUUUGAACGCAACUGGCGCUAGCCUAAACUAGCAUACUUGUUUCAGUGUGCGCAAACACAUAACACAAUCUAAAUGUGAGACACAAUUGCUGUCUCAUGAAAUCCAUGCUCCCUGCAGCAGUCACAUUUAUAUGUGAGCUUCAGAAGAGAACACUUAACUUUAUUUGCACCUGAAAUCAAGUAAGAUGACCCGCUGGACUUAAGCAUAUUACUAAGCGGAGGAGAAGAAAUUAACUAAGAUUCCCCUAGUAAGGGCGACUGAACCGGGAAAAGCUCGAAAUUGGAAUCGAGGAUUCAAAGAAUCUUCGAAUUGUAAUCAGGACUGCCUAAAUACGAGAGAUUGCUCAAUCAUGUCGAAACAUGGGCCAGAGAGGGUGAAAGCCCCGUACAGCUUUUUCUCGCUUAAGGUAGUUCCCAAAAGAGUCGGGUUGCUUGGAACUGCAGCCCUAAGUGGGAGAUAUGAAUCUUCCAAAGCUAAAUAAGGAUGGGAGACCGAUAGCGAACAAGUACUGUGAAGGAAAGAUGAAAAGGACUUUGAAAAGAGAGUGAAAAGAUCUGAAAUCGUUGAGAAGGAAGCGGUAGAAACUGACGGUCGUACUGAAAGAUCACGUGGUCAAAAGCUACGGAAGUCUUCCCAGAACGACGGGCAAAAUGAAGUCAGCUGCAUCAAAAAAGGGUCAAACCGUGUAAGAUGUAGUCGGCUUGAGGGACUAUUGUGAUUUUGCCAAAAUGGUUUUUACUGUCCCGUCUUGAAACACGGACCAAGGAGUCUAACAUAUAUGCGAGUGUGCGAGUGGAGAAACUCAUACGCGGAAUGAAAGUAAAAGGUGCGCAGCGCAAGCAACAGCAUCGACCGACCUAGUAAGAAAGGUUUGAGUAAGAGCAUAUCUGUUAGGACCCGAAAGAUGGUGAACUAUGCCUGAGUAGGGUGAAGUCAGGGGAAACCCUGAUGGAGGCUCGUAGCGUUGUUGACGUGCAAAUCACUCGUCAAACUUGGGUAUAGGGGCGAAAGACUAAUCGAACCAUCUAGUAGCUGGUUCCCUC